GGGCUUACUCCUUGGAGACUGGCAGCUCAGGGUCACGUUUGCCCCCACAUGGGGCACACCCUGGAGACGGCAGGAUGGAGGAGCUGGAGGAACCAGUACAUUGAGUUCUAAGGUUUUGAUGCUGUGGCCCCUAGAUUUGCCUUGUUUGUCUUGCACAUUCACGGAGCAGCUGUAGGGGCCAGAGUCUUUCUCCUGGAGACCCUCCAGCCGCAGGGACA
Molecule: long non-coding RNA, 218 nt
Filed under: Homo sapiens (human)
Lineage: Eukaryota; Metazoa; Chordata; Mammalia; Primates; Hominidae
Description: LNC_000669
Source: RNAcentral